Molecule: non-coding RNA, 72 nt
Filed under: Pseudomonas aeruginosa
Lineage: Bacteria; Pseudomonadati; Pseudomonadota; Gammaproteobacteria; Pseudomonadales; Pseudomonadaceae
Source: RNAcentral
AAGCGAAACCGCCCCGGCCUUGCUGGGGCGGUCUGCCGGGCGUGGUAGCCCGGUACUGAUGAGCAGCCACAU